UAACAAUGAACAGAACAAAGGGGUGUGUGAUCCAGUCCUUGCUCUGUUCACUGAGCUCUGCCCAGCGGCUGGUUGCUUUCACACGAGGAAAACCUUUUUUUCUGCUCUCUUGGCACAAAUUGCUGGAGCUGAAUGUACCAGGGUGGGUGAAGGGGAGGAUGAGGUCAGAGAGGUAACAGGGCCAGGCAAGCCAUUGUCAGGAUUUUGGAUUUUACUGUGUACGGAAUGUGUUUGCCAGAACAAUGCGGGAGUUGCAGAGAGAGGUGUCCUGUGUUUGUUCCCAGUCUUCCUUCACUCACCUGCACCUGCUCCUGCCCUGCUUCGGCCAACAUGUUCUAUGCAGGUAGGUAAAAAAGUUGGAAAUUUCAUUUCUCUCCCUGUGUCUCUAAGAUGACAUCUAUCAAACCUCUGAUUCUCUUUUGGUUCUUUACAGAAACCCCACUUGAAAUUUUCAGGUAGGAUGGGGAGAAGGGCAAACCUAUUGUUUCCUUCAAACCUAGUAAUAUCUAACUGAACCCUCUCUAUCGGCAGGGUGGUUUUGCUGAUGAGACAGCUGCAGUUUGGGGAGUGUGAUAUCAAGGAAAGCAGUGUCUUGAGUCUGUCACUUUCUCUCUCUGUCCCAUUGGCUGCUCACUGAUGUCACUUAGAGGAAGGCAGGGGCACAAGAUGGGAGGACCCAGAGCUCCGGGUUCUUAAUGAAUUUUUGCCACCUUCAAUGAGAAAGACUGAAACAAAAAACUCAGAAGAAAGAAAGAGACUGAGAUAGCAAAUAUGACAAACUGUUAAAAAUUCAUGAAUCUGUUAUGGAAUACUAUGCAGCCAUAAAAAAGGAUGAGUUCCUGUCCUUUGCAAGGACGUGUAUGAAGCUGGAAACCAUCAUUCUGAGCAAACUAAAACAGGAACAGAAAACCAAACACCACAUGUUCUCACUCAUAAGUGGGAGUUGAACAAUGAGAACACAUGGACACGGCGGGGUGGUGGGAACAUCACACACCGGGGCCUGUCAGAGGGGAGGGGGCUAGGGGAGAGAUAGCAUUAGGAGAAAUACCUAAUGUAGAUGAUGGGUUGAUGGGUGCAGCAAACCACCAUGGCAUGUGUAUACCUAUGUAACAAACCUGCAUGUUCUGCACAUGUAUCCCAGAACUUAAAGUAUAAUAAUAAAAAGAGAGAUUAAAAAAAUUGGUGAAUCUGGGCAAAAUGUACACAGGAUUUUUCUGUACUGUUCUUGCAACUUUUCUACAGAUUUGAAAUGUUACAAAAUAAAAGGUAUUUUUAGAAAAA
Long non-coding RNA from Homo sapiens (human), 1281 nucleotides. Ensembl annotates it as JUN divergent transcript. Its record names the gene JUN-DT. Lineage: Eukaryota; Metazoa; Chordata; Mammalia; Primates; Hominidae. The record is from Ensembl.